Molecule: unclassified non-coding RNA, 408 nt
Filed under: uncultured fungus
Lineage: Eukaryota; Fungi
Description: partial contains 5.8S ribosomal RNA and internal transcribed spacer 2
Rfam family: 5.8S ribosomal RNA (bases 1-133)
Source: RNAcentral
UGGCUCUCCCAUCGAUGAAGAACGCAGCGAAAUGCGAUAAGUAAUGUGAAUUGCAGAAUUCAGUGAAUCAUCGAAUCUUUGAACGCACCUUGCACCCAUUGGUAUUCCGAUGGGUACGCCUGUUUGAGUGUCAGUAAAUUCUCAAUCCUUAUGACUUUAUUGCUUGUAAGGGUUGGAUGUGAGGGUUAUUGCUGGCUUCCUUCAAUGCGAUGGUCAGCUCCCUUUAAAUGCAUUAGUGGAAUCCUUUGUGGAUCAUCACCGGGUGUGAUAAUAUAUCUACGCUCACCGAUGUUGAAGCAAUACUAUGGUGUUCUGCUCAUAACCGUUCAUUAGCUUGAACAAACAGUGUGUCUUUGCGGGCAUACAAACUGACAAUUUGACCUCAAAUCAGGUGGGACUACCCGCUGA